This 101-nucleotide ribosomal RNA is filed under the name Candidatus Hodgkinia cicadicola. Lineage: Bacteria; Pseudomonadati; Pseudomonadota; Alphaproteobacteria; Hyphomicrobiales. The record is from RNAcentral.
GGCAAUUCAGUUUAAGUUUGAAAACGCAUUAACAUGCCGAACAUGAAUAGUUAAAGGCUUAAACACUUGUUGUACCUUUGAAGUUAAAGGAAGAGCAAGGU